Long non-coding RNA from Octopus sinensis (East Asian common octopus), 578 nucleotides. RefSeq lists it as uncharacterized. The record is from RefSeq and is a predicted model, not a curated record. The transcript has 2 exons. Lineage: Eukaryota; Metazoa; Mollusca; Cephalopoda; Octopoda; Octopodidae.
AUUGUUUGCUUUAUAAAUUUUGUAAAUAUUAGAAACUUGAGAUUUAUUUUAUAUGAUGUUCCAUUCUAGUUUUUCUCCUCAGGGACUUUUCUAGUGUAGAAAUUUCAUCUAAGAAAAUGACUGUAAUUGUAAACAAAUAGGAUCAUUAACCCUUUUGUUACUAUAUUUCUUAUCAAAAUACUCUCCUUAUGUGUUUCAAUGAAAUUCUAAAUUAUUAUCAAUAUAUUGAUUUUAGGAAUGUAAUUCAACUAACGGUUAUUAACCAAAUCUGUUUCAUAAUUUUUAUCUCAAAGUGAAUCUAAUUACAGGUAAAUUCAACAAAAUAAAAAAUUAUUAAAACUUUUGUUCAAACAUCGCUAUAGAAAAUGGGUUAUUAGCUAAUAUUCAAUUGGGUAUACACCAAAAUUUUACCAUAGAAGAGUUGUGCACAUUACUGGAUUCAAGACAGGUGUACCAUGAGGGUGUAAGUAAAACAAAAGACUGGAAUUUGUCUGUGAAGAAAACUAGAAAACAAAAUACACACACCAUCAACUAGAUUAAAUAAGCUCUCCCACAUACAUUAGAUACAAUAAUGAUUU